RNAcentral lists this ribosomal RNA (468 nucleotides) under uncultured bacterium. Its description in RNAcentral is "partial 16S ribosomal RNA". It matches the Rfam family "Bacterial small subunit ribosomal RNA", at positions 28 to 507 of the family's 1533-position model. The record is from RNAcentral.
GAUGAACGCUGGCGGCGUGCUUAACACAUGCAAGUCGAACGGAAAGGCCCAAGCUUGCUUGGGUACUCGAGUGGCGAACGGGUGAGUAACACGUGGGUGAUCUGCCCUGCACUUCGGGAUAAGCCUGGGAAACUGGGUCUAAUACCGGAUAGGACGAUGGUUUGGAUGCCAUUGUGGAAAGUUUUUUCGGUGUGGGAUGAGCUCGCGGCCUAUCAGCUUGUUGGUGGGGUAAUGGCCUACCAAGGCGUCGACGGGUAGCCGGCCUGAGAGGGUGUACGGCCACAUUGGGACUGAGAUACGGCCCAGACUCCUACGGGAGGCAGCAGUGGGGAAUAUUGCACAAUGGGCGAAAGCCUGAGGCAGCGACGCCGCGUGGGGGAUGACGGCCUUCGGGUUGUAAACUCCUUUCGCUAGGGACGAAGCGUUUUUGCGACGGUACCUGGAGAAGAAGCACCGGCUAACUACGUG